RNAcentral lists this long non-coding RNA (522 nucleotides) under Bos taurus (domestic cattle). Its description in RNAcentral is "long non-coding RNA NONBTAT017370". Lineage: Eukaryota; Metazoa; Chordata; Mammalia; Artiodactyla; Bovidae. The record is from RNAcentral.
AUGGCUCCACUGAACCGCCCAGCUCCUGUGGAAGUCACAUACAGGAACAUGAGAUUUCUUAUUACACACAAUCCAACGAGUGCAACCUUAAGCAAAUUCAUAGAGGACCUUAAGAAGUAUGGAGUUACGACAAUAGUAAGAGUGUGUGAAGCAACUUAUGACACUGCUCUGGUGGAGAAAGAAGGCAUCCAGGUUUUGGAUUGGCCCUUUGAUGAUGGUUCAUCACCCUCUAACCAGAUUGUGGAUGACUGGUUAAGUCUUUUAAAUAUUAAAUUUCGGGAAGAACCUGGUUGUUGCAUUGCUGUUCACUGUGUUGCAGGUCUUGGGAGAACUCCAGUGCUUGUCGCCCUGGCAUUAAUGGAAGGUGGAAUGAAAAAUGAAGAGGCGGUCCAGUUUAUAAGACAAAAGCGGCGUGGAGCUUUUAACAGCAAGCAACUUUUAUACUUGGAGAAAUAUCAUUCUAAAAUGCGGCUGUGCUUCAAAGACUCCAGUGGCCAUAGAAACAACUGUUGCGUUCAAUAA